This 253-nucleotide ribosomal RNA is filed under the name uncultured bacterium. RNAcentral's name for it is "partial 16S ribosomal RNA". It matches the Rfam family "Bacterial small subunit ribosomal RNA", at positions 524 to 776 of the family's 1533-position model. The record is from RNAcentral.
UACGUAGGGUGCGAGCGUUACUCGGAAUUACUGGGCGUAAAGUGUGCGCAGGCGGCCGAGCAAGUCGAGUGUGAAAGCCCCGAGCUUAACUUGGGAAUUGCGCUCGAAACUACUUGGCUGGAGUGUGGCAGAGGAAGGUGGAAUUCCAGGUGUAGCGGUGAAAUGCGUAGAGAUCUGGAGGAACACCGAUGGCGAAGGCAGCCUUCUGGGCCAACACUGACGCUCAUGCACGAAAGCGUGGGGAGCAAACAGG